CCUACGGGGGGCAGCAGUGGGGGAUAUUGCACAAUGGGGGAAACCCUGAUGCAGCGACGCCGCGUGAGUGAAGAAGUAUUUCGGUAUGUAAAGCUCUAUCAGCAGGGAAGAAAAUGACAGUACCUGACCAAGAAGCCCCGGCUAACUACGUGCCAGCAGCCGCGGUAAUACGUAGGGGGCAAGCGUUAUCCGGAUUUAUUGGGUGUAAAGGGAGCGUAGACGGUUAUGUAAGGCUGGAGUGAAAGCCCGGGGGCCAACCCCGGGACUGCUUUGGAAACUGUGUAACUGGAGUACAGGAGGGGCAGGCGGAAUGCCUGGUGUAGCGGUGAAAUGCGUAGAUAUCAGGAAGAACACCGACGGCGAAGGCAGCCUGCUGGACUGAAACUGACGUUGAGGCUCGAAAGCGUGGGGAGCGAACAGGAUUAGAUACCCUAGUAGUC
This 440-nucleotide ribosomal RNA is filed under the name uncultured bacterium. RNAcentral describes it as "partial 16S ribosomal RNA". It matches the Rfam family "Bacterial small subunit ribosomal RNA", at positions 338 to 795 of the family's 1533-position model. The record is from RNAcentral.